RNAcentral lists this transfer RNA (60 nucleotides) under Barbronia weberi. RNAcentral describes it as "tRNA-Leu". Lineage: Eukaryota; Metazoa; Annelida; Clitellata; Hirudinida; Salifidae. The record is from RNAcentral.
AAUAGGUUGGCAGAUUAGUGCAAUUGGCUUAGAACCUCUAUAUGAAUAUUUCACCUAUUA